This 761-nucleotide ribosomal RNA is filed under the name uncultured Methanosarcina sp. RNAcentral's name for it is "bacterial SSU rRNA". It matches the Rfam family "Archaeal small subunit ribosomal RNA", at positions 102 to 859 of the family's 1478-position model. Lineage: Archaea; Methanobacteriati; Methanobacteriota; Methanomicrobia; Methanosarcinales; Methanosarcinaceae. The record is from RNAcentral.
GGAUAACAUGCCCUUUGGGACCGGGCGUAACCCCGGGAAACUGGGGAUAAUUCCGGAUAACGCAUAUUUGCUGGAAUGCUUUAUGCGUCAAAAGGAUUCGUCUGCCCAAGGAUGGGUCUGCGGCCUAUCAGGUAGUAGUGGGUGUAAUGUACCUACUAGCCAGCGACGGGUACGGGUUGUGAGAGCAAGAGCCCGGAGAUGGAUUCUGAGACAUGAAUCCAGGCCCUACGGGGCGCAGCAGGCGCGAAAACUUUACAAUGCGGGAAACCGUGAUAAGGGGACACCGAGUGCCAGCAUCAUAUGCUGGCUGUCCGGAUGUGUAAAAUACAUCCGUUAGCAAGGGCCGGGCAAGACCGGUGCCAGCCGCCGCGGUAACACCGGCGGCCCGAGUGGUGAUCGUGAUUAUUGGGUCUAAAGGGUCCGUAGCCGGUUUGGUCAGUCCUCCGGGAAAUCUGAUAGCUCAACUAUUAGGCUUUCGGGGGAUACUGCCAGACUUGGAACCGGGAGAGGUAAGAGGUACUACAGGGGUAGGAGUGAAAUCUUGUAAUCCCUGUGGGACCACCUGUGGCGAAGGCGUCUUACCAGAACGGGUUCGACGGUGAGGGACGAAAGCUGGGGGCACGAACCGGAUUAGAUACCCGGGUAGUCCCAGCCGUAAACGAUGCUCGCUAGGUGUCAGGCAUGGCGCGACCGUGUCUGGUGCCGCAGGGAAGCCGUGAAGCGAGCCACCUGGGAAGUACGGCCGCAAGGCUGAAACUUAA